UGGGGGAUAUUGCACAAUGGGGGAAACCCUGAUGCAGCGACCCCGCGUGGAGGAAGAAGGUUUUCGGAUUGUAAACUCCUGUCGUUAGGGACGAUAAUGACGGUACCUAACAAGAAAGCACCGGCUAACUACGUGCCAGCAGCCGCGGUAAAACGUAGGGUGCAAGCGUUGUCCGGAAUUACUGGGUGUAAAGGGAGCGCAGGCGGGAAGACAAGUUGGAAGUGAAAACCAUGGGCUCAACCCAUGAAUUGCUUUCAAAACUGUUUUUCUUGAGUAGUGCAGAGGUAGAUGGAAUUCCCGGUGUAGCGGUGGAAUGCGUAGAUAUCGGGAGGAACACCAGUGGCGAAGGCGGUCUACUGGGCACCAACUGACGCUGAGGCUCGAAAGCAUGGGUAGCAAACAGGAUUAGAUACCCUGGUAGUCCAUGCCGUAAACGAUGAUUACUAGGUGUUGGGGGAUUGACCCCCUCAGUGCCGCAGUUAACACAAUAAGUAAUCCACCUGGGGAGUACGACCGCAAGGUUGAAACUCAAAGGAAUUGACGGGGGCCCGCACAAGCAGUGGAGUAUGUGGUUUAAUUCGAAGCAACGCGAAGAACCUUACCAGGUCUUGACAUCCGAUGCAUAGCACAGAGAUGUGUGAAAUCCUUCGGGACAUCGAGACAGGUGGUGCAUGGUUGUCGUCAGCUCGUGUCGUGAGAUGUUGGGUUAAGUCCCGCAACGAGCGCAACCCUUAUUGCCAGUUACUACGUUAAGAGGACUCUGGCGAGACUGCCGUUGACAAAACGGAGGAAGGUGGGGAUGACGUCAAAUCAUCAUGCCCUUUAUGAUCUGGGCUACACACGUGCUACAAUGGCGUAACAAAGGGAAGCGAGCCUGCGAGGGUGAGCAAAUCCCAAAAAUAACGUCCCAGUUCGGACUGUAGUCUGCAACCCGACUACACGAAGCUGGAAUCGCUAGUAAUCGCGAAUCAGAAUGUCGCGGUGAAUACGUUCCC
Molecule: ribosomal RNA, 995 nt
Filed under: uncultured bacterium
Lineage: Bacteria
Description: bacterial SSU rRNA
Rfam family: Bacterial small subunit ribosomal RNA
Source: RNAcentral